RNAcentral lists this ribosomal RNA (449 nucleotides) under uncultured Campylobacterota bacterium. RNAcentral describes it as "bacterial SSU rRNA". It matches the Rfam family "Bacterial small subunit ribosomal RNA", at positions 8 to 457 of the family's 1533-position model. The record is from RNAcentral. Lineage: Bacteria; Pseudomonadati; Campylobacterota.
AGAGUUUGAUCAUGGCUCAGAAUGAACGCUGGCGGCGUGCUUAACACAUGCAAGUCGAACGGUAACAGAGGUGCUUGCACCUGCUGACGAGUGGCGCACGGGUGAGUAAUGCAUAGGUAAUGUGCCCCCCAGUCUGGGAUAGCCACUGGAAACGGUGAUUAAUACCGGAUAUUCCUGCUGAUUGAUUUUCAGCAGGGAAAGGUUUUUCGCUGGGGGAUCAGCCUAUGUCCUAUCAGCUGGUUGGUGAGGUAAGAGCUCACCAAGGCGAUGACGGGUAGCUGGUUUGAGAGGAUGAUCAGCCACACUGGUACUGAGGCACGGACCAGACUCCUACGGGAGGCAGCAGUGAGGAAUAUUGCACAAUGGGGGAAACCCUGAUGCAGCAACGCCGCGUGGAGGAUGACGCAUUUCGGUGUGUAAACUCCUUUUAUGAGAGAAGAAGAUGACGG